Molecule: ribosomal RNA, 505 nt
Filed under: uncultured bacterium
Lineage: Bacteria
Description: partial 16S ribosomal RNA
Rfam family: Bacterial small subunit ribosomal RNA
Source: RNAcentral
GACGAACGCUGGCGGCGUGCUUAACACAUGCAAGUCGAACGGUGAAGCGCUUGCCUUUUUGGUGGGUGUGGAUGAGUGGCGAACGGGUGAGUAACACGUGAGUAACCUGCCCUCUUCUUCUGGAUAACCUCAUGAAAGUGGGGCUAAUACGGGGUAUUCCGGGUCUGUCGCAUGGCGGGUUUGGGAAAGAUUGCGCCUUUGGGUGUUUUCGGUGGGGGAUGGGCUCGCGGCCUAUCAGCUUGUUGGUGGGGUGAUGGCCUACCAAGGCGGUGACGGGUAGCCGGCCUGGGAGGGUGGACGGCCACACUGGGACUGAGGCACGGCCCAGCCUCCUGCGGGAGGCAGCAGGGGGGAAUAGUGCACAAUGGGCGCAAGCCUGAUGCAGCGACGCCGCGUGAGGGAUGGAGGCCUGCGGGUUGUGAACCUCUUUCGCCAGUGAAGCAGGCCUGCCUCGUUUGUGGGUGGGUUGACGGUAGCUGGAUAAGAAGCGCCGGCUAACUACGUG